This is a long non-coding RNA of Cyprinus carpio (common carp), 1119 nucleotides long. The record is from Ensembl. Lineage: Eukaryota; Metazoa; Chordata; Actinopteri; Cypriniformes; Cyprinidae.
CAGAACCAGAUGGGUAUCUGAAUGGUACAUUCAUACAAAUGUAUCCUGGGACACUUUAAAACCCUAUUGGAGGUGUUGCUGUACAUUUUAAGUUUUUCCGCUCAAUCGGCUCACAUUUAAAAAUAAUAAUAAUAAUAAUAAUUUCGUUUUUUUUUUUUUUUUUUUUUUUUUUUUUUUUUUAUUCGUUUUGUAAAGAAAUGGAUAUGUAAGCACUAGGCACAAUACUUUACAAUACCUUAUUACCACGGUGACGGGCCAAGUUUCUGAUCACCCAAUAGGAUGAGGCCAAUCACACGAAGCACGGUUCUUCACUGAAUAUCAUUAUGAAAAAUAUGAAGACUUUAAAAACAAUUACACGGCUAUGAAAGCUCGGUAGGACUGCUGGAAAGAAUAAAAAAACAUCUGACAGUAUCAAUGCAAGUGAGUUCAUAAUGAGACAUGGUGAUGCUCACCUUCAAAUGCUAAACAUCAUGGAUACAGGACAACUGAAAACGUGAACAUUGUGUUUGAUUCACCUUUGAUUAGCCAAUAUUGCUUUAUUUUAUCCUCAGGUUUAUGCAGAAAUAAGAUAAAAUUGUACACUAUGGCAAAGGAUGCCAUUAAUAAACGGACUGCAAGACUGUGCAGAAAUUCUUGCAAUGACAAAACUCAAAAAAAUUAUAUUAAUUUAGUAAUAUGUGCGUGUGACAUAAACUCCGCAAAACAUGCAGUCUGGCUGCCAAUACUAACUAGUCUUGCAACUCCUCUCCAUCCAGGAACCAAACCCCUGUGUUUACGGACAAACUGGAUAACACCAUCAGACGUCAUCAACCUGGAAAUGGAAAUAAAAUGUGACAUUCUGCUAUUAAAGUACAAUUUAAAGGGUCGCAGGCAGUGGUGCGCUCUGCUCCUCCACUAGUGCUGCUGAGAUGAGUGGCAGCCUACCUGGAAAAACACCACACAACACGGGAGAAAUCAAUGGAUCUGCACAGGUGUGAAAUUGGAUGAUCGUGUUUUCUUCGUGUAAUGGAAGUAAUUACAGCCACAGUUUUGAACAUGUCCAUUUUAACUCAUCAUUUGAUCAGACUGACAUCUUUACACAAAACUGAAAUAAAACAGAAAAUUAGACAUUUAUUUUCA